Small nucleolar RNA from Camarhynchus parvulus, 66 nucleotides. Its record names the gene SNORD24. It matches the Rfam family "Small nucleolar RNA SNORD24". From Rfam's summary of the family: U24 is a member of the C/D class of snoRNA which contain the C (UGAUGA) and D (CUGA) box motifs. C/D box snoRNAs have been shown to act as methylation guides for a number of RNA targets. The record is from Ensembl. NCBI's taxonomy places the organism in Eukaryota, Metazoa, Chordata, Aves, Passeriformes, Thraupidae.
UGCAGAUGAUGAUCACUUUUUGCUGUGAAAAAAAAAGUGAUGACAACCACCAAGAUCGCUGAUGCA